CUUAUAGAGAGUAGAGGUGGUGGGCUGUUCCAGGACCAGGAAAUCUGGAGGACUGAGGGAAGUUCCAGGAUAAUUGAACAGUAGAAGGAGCAUGGUUUUGAAGUUCUGAAUGUCAGGAAUGAGCCUGGGAGAAUAAAUGGAUAUGGGCUAUCUCCUUCAGGGUUUAAAGGUUUCUUGGGAGAAGGAACUCCCUUCUUUGGAGAGCAUGGUCAAAGAUGCAGUGCAUUCUGGUUAGAGUCCACUUUUCAUAAAUAGCAGAAGAUGGAAAGAGAGUGGGAUAUGUGAAGAAUGGAUUUGGCUCUCCCCUGAUUAUAACAAUGAAGGUACUUAGCUCUUCCCUGAUUGUGAAAAUGUAAAUUGUAACUCAUGUCUAUUUUUAGAUUUUAAUCCCCUUAAGUGUAAAAACCCUAAUUAAAAGUUAAGUAUGGAAACCUGCCUAUUUUUAGAUUCAAUCACAAAAAGUGGAAACACGGUACUUAAAAGUUAAGUAUGUAGAUCUUCCCAUUUAGAUCUACUCACCAAAAGUGCAAAUAUCCUACUUAAUCAUGAAAUGGGAAGUCGUUGACCCAUGCAUUUGAUAGUGGAUAAUGAAUCAGAAUCGACUAACUGCCUUCUGGACAGUCAUAGAGCAGAGCGUCAGCUGUGAUUGGUAGACGUGGAAUUAGGGGAAGUGAUGCAAGAGAAAAUGUCUUUAAAAGUGGAGUUUGACUUGGAACUGUGAUUUUUGGAGUGGAGUUCAACUUGGAUUUCCACUUAUGCUAGAUGCAAUUCUUCAUGCUUUCAAGUUGAGGCUGGUGAAGAGGGGCAGAAGGAUCUGCUGACUGGACUAACAUGUGGUGAGUGAAAAAGCUGACUCCUAACUGCUGACUUUUCUCUGAAGAGACCAGCCUCAGGAAAGACUUCCUCUUGAGAAACUUCUCAGUUCCUUAGAUUUGCCAAGGUCAGCUGAAACUAAUUCUCCCCGCCCAAAGGGGCUGGGAAUAAAUGACUUAGUGCUCAGGCUAGAUAUCUUACC
This 1015-nucleotide long non-coding RNA is filed under the name Monodelphis domestica (gray short-tailed opossum). Its description in RNAcentral is "lncRNA (ENSMODG00000043733.1)". The record is from RNAcentral. Lineage: Eukaryota; Metazoa; Chordata; Mammalia; Didelphimorphia; Didelphidae.